Molecule: long non-coding RNA, 252 nt
Filed under: Mytilus galloprovincialis (Mediterranean mussel)
Lineage: Eukaryota; Metazoa; Mollusca; Bivalvia; Mytilida; Mytilidae
Source: RNAcentral
AAACGGUAGUCGGCCGUAUCAAAUUAUAAACCUGGUACCUUUGAAAGCUGUCAAUUAUAUUUGGUGUCUGGAAUGAUAGUAAGGUGUACAUGUCAAACUGACAGGUUUCAUGGUUUAUUGGAAAAUGUUCAGUUUUUGUCUGUUUUUCAAAUACUACAACAUGUACAAGCAAAAGAGCCACAUUUUGUGAUGUAUGGACUGAUUGUCAGGUGUUCAUGUCCAUCUGGCAGAUUUCGUCCUACCUCGAAUACA